GGGGGAAUAUUGGACAAUGGGCGAAAGCCUGAUCCAGCAAUGCCGCGUGAGUGAUGAAGGCCUUAGGGUUGUAAAGCUCUUUUACCCGGGAAGAUAAUGACUGUACCGGGAGAAUAAGCCCCGGCUAACUCCGUGCCAGCAGCCGCGGUAAUACGGAGGGGCUAGCGUUGUUCGGAAUUACUGGGCGUAAAGCGCACGUAGGCGGCUUUGCAAGUCAGAGGUGAAAGCCCGGGGCUCAACCCCGGAAUUGCCUUUGAGACUGCAGAGCUAGCAGGUGAGAGAGGUAAGUGGAAUUCCGAGUGUAGAGGUGAAAUUCGUAGAUAUUCGGAAGAACACCAGUGGCGAAGGCGGCUUACUGGCUCAUACUGGACGCUGAGGUGCGAAAGCGUGGGGAGCAAACAGGAUUAGAUACCC
Molecule: ribosomal RNA, 414 nt
Filed under: uncultured bacterium
Lineage: Bacteria
Description: bacterial SSU rRNA
Rfam family: Bacterial small subunit ribosomal RNA
Source: RNAcentral